UGACAUACACCGGAAAGCAUCAGAGAUGGUGCCCCCCUUGUGGUCGGUGUACAGGUGGUGCAUGGCUGUCGUCAGCUCGUGUCGUGAGAUGUUGGGUUAAGUCCCGCAACGAGCGCAACCCUUGUUCUGUGUUGCCAGCAUGCCCUUCGGGGUGAUGGGGACUCACAGGAGACCGCCGGGGUCAACUCGGAGGAAGGUGGGGACGACGUCAAGUCAUCAUGCCCCUUAUGUCUUGGGCUGCACACGUGCUACAAUGGCAGGUACAAUGAGCUGCGAUACCGUGAGGUGGAGCGAAUCUCAAAAAGCCUGUCUCAGUUCGGAUUGGGGUCUGCAACUCGACCCCAUGAAGUCGGAGUUGCUAGUAAUCGCAGAUCAGCAUUGCUGCGGUGAAUACGUUCCC
RNAcentral lists this ribosomal RNA (400 nucleotides) under uncultured Streptomyces sp. RNAcentral describes it as "bacterial SSU rRNA". It matches the Rfam family "Bacterial small subunit ribosomal RNA", at positions 982 to 1375 of the family's 1533-position model. Lineage: Bacteria; Bacillati; Actinomycetota; Actinomycetes; Kitasatosporales; Streptomycetaceae. The record is from RNAcentral.